AGACGUUUGAUCCUGGCUCAGGAUGAACGCUGGCGGCGUGCUUAAUACAUGCAAGUCGAACGAGGAUAUUUCGCUGAUGCGAUUCGUCAAAUCUUGAAAUAUCUUAGUGGCGGACGGGUGAGUAACGCGUGGGUAACCUGCCUUACACAGGGGGAUAACAGUUAGAAAUGACUGCUAAUACCGCAUAAGCGCACGAGAUCGCAUGAUCAUGUGUGAAAAGAUUUAUCGGUGUAAGAUGGACCCGCGUCUGAUUAGCUUGUUGGCGGGGUAAGGGCCCACCAAGGCGACGAUCAGUAGCCGGUCUGAGAGGAUGAACGGCCACAUUGGAACUGAGACACGGUCCAAACUCC
RNAcentral lists this ribosomal RNA (350 nucleotides) under uncultured Butyrivibrio sp. Its description in RNAcentral is "bacterial SSU rRNA". It matches the Rfam family "Bacterial small subunit ribosomal RNA", at positions 8 to 339 of the family's 1533-position model. Lineage: Bacteria; Bacillati; Bacillota; Clostridia; Lachnospirales; Lachnospiraceae. The record is from RNAcentral.